This 329-nucleotide unclassified non-coding RNA is filed under the name soil metagenome. Its description in RNAcentral is "partial contains 5.8S ribosomal RNA, internal transcribed spacer 2, and large subunit ribosomal RNA". The stretch from base 1 to 120 matches the Rfam family "5.8S ribosomal RNA", at positions 35 to 154 of the family's 154-position model. The record is from RNAcentral.
GAUGAAGAACGUAGCGAAAUGCGAUAAGUAAUGUGAAUUGCAGAAUUCAGUGAAUCAUCGAAUCUUUGUACGCACAUUGCGCCCCCUGGUAUUCCGGGGGGCAUGCCUGUCCGAGCGUCAUUACAACCCUCAAGCUCAGCUUGGUGUUGGGCCCCGCCGCCCCGGCGGGCCCUAAAGUCAGUGGCGGUGCCGUCCGGCUCCGAGCGUAGUAAUUCUUCUCGCUCUGGAGGUCCGGUCGUGUGCUCGCCAGCAACCCCCAAUUUUUUUCAGGUUGACCUCGGAUCAGGUAGGGAUACCCGCUGAACUUAAGCAUAUCAAUAAGCGGAGGA